Molecule: non-coding RNA, 29 nt
Filed under: Rattus norvegicus (Norway rat)
Lineage: Eukaryota; Metazoa; Chordata; Mammalia; Rodentia; Muridae
Source: RNAcentral
UGUAAAACUGGUGACCUUCAAGUAGCGUC